UUUUUUUUUUUUGAGAUGGAGUUUCCCUCUUGUUGCCCAGACUGGAGUGCAAUGGCACGAUCUCAGCUCACUGAAACCUCCGCCUCCCAGGAUCAAGCGAUUCUCCUGCCUCAGCCUCCCAAGUAGCUGGGAUUACAGGCACCCGCCACCACGCCCAGCUAUUUUUUUGUACUUUUAGUAGAGACAGGGUUUCACCAUGUUGGCCAGGCUGGUGUUGAACUCCUGACUUCAGGUGAUCCACCUGCCUCGAUCUCCCAAAUUGCUGGGAUUACAGGUGUGAGCCACUGUGCCAGCCCUUGAAUUUCUCCUAGCCCUUCAGUUCCUCCAGCUUCAUGCCUCCCAAGGUUGCACCCCCCAGGGCCUGCCCUGCAGUCCUGGGGCAGGGCCCCUUCUCUGAGGGGAUGAAGGGGGCACUUCCCUGAACAGAGAGAGAGGGAGACCCACACCACUUGGAUUAAACUCCCCAGGCCCCAGCUGACUCUACAACUUGGCCAAGAAACCCUAUCUCCUAGGGCCUCAGUGUUUUAGUCCAUAAAAUGGUUCUUGAACCUUUAAAAUACACUCUUUUGUAGAGUUGAAACACUUUGCAGACCUGCACUCUGUGACAGUAGUUGAACUUUAAAAAUCCUUUGAUUAAAAAGAAGACAAAUGGUCAUCUGCAAGGAUACCUUCAUCAAUGCUUUAAUUUUUAAAAAAUUUUAUUUAUUUAUUUUUGAGACGGAGUUUCACUCUUGUUGCCCAGGCUGGAGUACAAUGACGUGAUCGCGGCUCCCCACAACCUCCACUUCCCGGGUUCAAGCAAUUCUCCUGCCUCAGCCUCCCGAGUAUUUGGGAUUACAGGCAUGCACCACAACACCCUGCUAACUUUUUGCAUUUUAGUAGUUUUUCCAUGUUGGUCAGGCUGUUCUCAAACUCCUAACCUCAGGUGAUCUGCCCACCUUGGCCUCCCAAAGUGCUGGGAUUACAAGCAUGAGCCACUGCACCCGGCCUGCAAUGCUUUUAGAUGAGUGUAUAUUUUAUUCAACAGCCCUAAAUACAUUUGAAAAUGUGUCCCCUUGACUAGGUGUGGUGCAACAGAGUGAGACUCUGACUCCAAAAAAAAAAAAAAAAGAAAAAAAGAAAAUGUGUUCCCUAUGUGGGAGGCAUCAGCCUGUGGAUGAUGCAGAUUCCUAAGGGGCUUGAGGCUCCCGGCGUGCGUGAAUUUGUGUCUUUGAGGGGACGGAUAGCCCUGGAAUUAGUUGAUUUCUCCUUGGCCCUCCCGGGGCAGACCGAGGGACUCAGGGACACCAAAUGGGUAGUCCCUGACUCAAAUUCAAAGUUCAACAGUGACUGACCAGAAUGUACAGUGUAGUGGCUUCUCUUUAACAUGUGGAUCCUGCCUUGGAUGCCUGCCAGGGCUUCCAUCCUUGCUCUGCCACUAACCAGCUCUCCUGCCAAGGUAUGCCACUUUAUCUCGUGGGCCCCAGCAUUGUCACCUAUAAAAUGGGGUUGAUAGUACUUGUGAGUUU
Molecule: long non-coding RNA, 1508 nt
Filed under: Macaca fascicularis (crab-eating macaque)
Lineage: Eukaryota; Metazoa; Chordata; Mammalia; Primates; Cercopithecidae
Description: lncRNA (ENSMFAG00000052261.1)
Source: RNAcentral